UACGUAGGGGGCUAGCGUUGUCCGGAUUUAUUGGGCGUAAAGAGCGUGUAGGCGGCCAGGUAGGUCUGGUGUGAAAACUCGAGGCUUAACCUCGAGAUGUCAUCGGAAACCAUCUGGCUAGAGUCCGGAAGAGGAGAGUGGAAUUCCUGGUGUAGCGGCGAAAUGCGCAGAUAUCAGGAAGAACACCAAUGGCGAAGGCAGCUCUCUGGGACGGUACUGACGCUGAGACGCGAAAGCGUGGGGAGCGAACAGG
Molecule: ribosomal RNA, 253 nt
Filed under: uncultured bacterium
Lineage: Bacteria
Description: partial 16S ribosomal RNA
Rfam family: Bacterial small subunit ribosomal RNA
Source: RNAcentral